RNAcentral lists this ribosomal RNA (247 nucleotides) under uncultured bacterium. Its description in RNAcentral is "partial 16S ribosomal RNA". It matches the Rfam family "Bacterial small subunit ribosomal RNA", at positions 108 to 353 of the family's 1533-position model. The record is from RNAcentral.
GAGUAACGCGUGGGUAACCUGCCUCAUACAGGGGGAUAACAGUUAGAAAUGGCUGCUAAUACCGCAUAAGCGCACAGCUUCGCAUGGAGCAGUGUGAAAAACUCUGGUGGUAUGAGAUGGACCCGCGUCUGAUUAGCUGGUUGGUAAGGUAACGGCUUACCAAGGCGACGAUCAGUAGCCGACCUGAGAGGGUGACCGGCCACAUUGGGACUGAGACACGGCCCAAACUCCUACGGGAGGCAGCAUG